GCCCGGGUGGCGAAAUUGGUAGACGCAAGGGACUUAAAAUCCCUCGGCCGCAAGGCUGUGCCGGUUCGAGUCCGGCCCCGGGCACCA
This 87-nucleotide transfer RNA is filed under the name Gammaproteobacteria bacterium. RNAcentral's name for it is "tRNA-Leu". It matches the Rfam family "tRNA". Rfam says of the family: Transfer RNA (tRNA) molecules are approximately 80 nucleotides in length. Their secondary structure includes four short double-helical elements and three loops (D, anti-codon, and T loops). RNAcentral also lists the same sequence under 2 other names. Lineage: Bacteria; Pseudomonadati; Pseudomonadota; Gammaproteobacteria. The record is from RNAcentral.